Molecule: ribosomal RNA, 413 nt
Filed under: Aeromonas salmonicida subsp. salmonicida
Lineage: Bacteria; Pseudomonadati; Pseudomonadota; Gammaproteobacteria; Aeromonadales; Aeromonadaceae
Description: bacterial LSU rRNA
Rfam family: Bacterial large subunit ribosomal RNA
Source: RNAcentral
UCACAUCCUGGGGCUGAAGUCGGUCCCAAGGGUAUGGCUGUUCGCCAUUUAAAGUGGUACGCGAGCUGGGUUCAGAACGUCGUGAGACAGUUCGGUCCCUAUCUGCCGUGGGCGUUGGAUGAUUGAAGGGAGUUGCUCCUAGUACGAGAGGACCGGAGUGAACGAACCUCUGGUGUUCGGGUUGUCACGCCAGUGGCACUGCCCGGUAGCUAAGUUCGGAAUCGAUAACCGCUGAAAGCAUCUAAGCGGGAAGCGAGCCCUGAGAUGAGUCAUCCCUGACCCCUUGAGGGUCCUAAAGGGCCGUUGGAGACCACAACGUUGAUAGGUGGGGUGUGUAAGUGCAGCGAUGCAUUGAGCUAACCCAUACUAAUUACCCGUGAGGCUUAACCAUACAACACCCAAGAAGUGUUCUG